RNAcentral lists this ribosomal RNA (253 nucleotides) under uncultured bacterium. RNAcentral's name for it is "partial 16S ribosomal RNA". It matches the Rfam family "Bacterial small subunit ribosomal RNA", at positions 524 to 776 of the family's 1533-position model. The record is from RNAcentral.
GACGUAGGGGGCCAGCGUUGUUCGGAAUUACUGGGUGUAAAGGGUUCGUAGGCGGUGUGGCAAGUCGGGAGUGAAAUCUCUGGGCUCAACUCAGAGACUGCUUCCGAAACUGCUGUGCUGGAGUGUGGGAGAGGCGCGUGGAAUUGCAGGUGUAGCGGUGAAAUGCGUAGAUAUCGGGAAGAACACCCGUGGCGAAGGCGGCUCUCUGGGACGGUACUGACGCUGAGACGCGAAAGCGUGGGGAGCGAACAGG